Molecule: ribosomal RNA, 253 nt
Filed under: uncultured microorganism
Description: partial 16S ribosomal RNA
Rfam family: Bacterial small subunit ribosomal RNA
Source: RNAcentral
GACGUAGGGGGCGAGCGUUGUCCGGAGUCACUGGGCGUAAAGGGCGCGUAGGCGGUCUAGCAAGUCAGGUGUCAAAGACCACGGCUCAACCGUGGAGGUGCACCUGAAACUGCUAGGCUAGAGGGCAGGAGAGGGGAGUGGAAUUCCCGGUGUAGCGGUGAAAUGCGUAGAUAUCGGGAGGAAUACCAGUGGCGAAAGCGACUCCCUGGACUGACCCUGACGCUGAGGCGCGAAAGCGUGGGGAGCAAACAGG